RNAcentral lists this long non-coding RNA (474 nucleotides) under Carica papaya (papaya). RNAcentral describes it as "long non-coding RNA (CPAP_LNC008207)". Lineage: Eukaryota; Viridiplantae; Streptophyta; Magnoliopsida; Brassicales; Caricaceae. The record is from RNAcentral.
ACAUCCUUUUUAAGCUGCCACCAUUGCUUGGCUUCUCUGAUUAGCAUAAAGGCUGCGAAGGAGACUUUUUAUUUUUCGGUUAGGUCUUGGACAGAGAAAAACUUUUCUAUCUGCAAUAUCCAAACUUCUGUAGCCAAGGGGUUGGGGCCUCUUUCGAAGUGGGUUAGGUUUAGUCUUCUAAACUCGAUAAUGUUCUGGGAAAUGGAUUGUUUAGCUGGGCGAUAAUCGGGGGUUGUGAGAUGUUGAAAGUGAUUUGCUUGGUUUUUUCCUACUAUUGCAGUUAGACCCUGAAUAGUUCGGAUAAGCUUAAUAAACUCGACUCUGGUGGUAGAUCUUGGGCCUCAGGUCUCUCAGUUCUCUUUACGAAAGGUCUCUCUCGAGUUAUUUGGUCCAAUAAAAGAUAAGGGAGAACGAGUUGGUGGACUAGUUUUCUGGAAAGAAAAUAUCGUAAGUAUCUAAAGUAGUUUUCCUAAG